Molecule: ribosomal RNA, 566 nt
Filed under: uncultured fungus
Lineage: Eukaryota; Fungi
Description: eukaryotic LSU rRNA
Rfam family: 5.8S ribosomal RNA (bases 174-327)
Source: RNAcentral
CUUGGUCAUUUAGAGGAAGUAAAAGUCGUAACAAGGUUUCCGUAGGUGAACCUGCGGAAGGAUCAUUAACAAAUCAAUUGUGCUUUUGCACAAAAUAUACCCCGCAGGGUCAAACCUGUGGCUAUAAAUUUCUGCUUGUAUGUGUGACUAUAUCAUGACUAUAUAAUAUAAACAACUUUUAACAACGGAUCUCUAGGCUCUUGCAACGAUGAAGAACGCAGUGAAAUGCGAAAAGUAAUGCGAUUUGCAUGAAUCUGUGAGUCAUCAAGUUUUUGAACGCACCUUGCACUCUUGGCGCAAGUCAAGAGUAUACCUGUUUGAGAAUCAUAUACAUUACUCUGCUCAUUUUGAGUGGGAUCUGGACUCUAUUACUAUUGUCUUUAAUGUAGUAGUAGCGGGCUUUGCUUGGCGCAAAGGCACUGUGUGAUAGAGACAUUUUGUCUACUCACGGUGAGCCUGAGCGAGAUACUUGCAUUGCCUUUGCUGCUGAUAACCACAACUUUUUUUUGUGAUCUCAAAUCAGGUAAGGCUACCCGCUGAACUUAAGCAUAUCAAUAAGCGGAGGA